AUGCCUCCCUCCUCUCCGUCCUACAACCACGCCACCGGAGGAAGCCGUCGUUCGUGGCGCCAUAUCGCUGCCGGGGUGCCGCGUAAGAGGCUAGGGGACGCCGCCACCGCAAGCCGGCAGGAAGCCAACGGCGAGCACGCCGUCAAGAUGCCGCCAGGAGGACCUACCAUCCGGUCCAUGUCGUCAAGCGAGGGCCGCUUGUUGCGUCGUCGUGGGAGGAGGCGCACCAUCGAGGAGCAGCAGAGGAGGAGACGAGGACCAUCAAGGAGUAGCAGGGGAGGAGACGAGGACCAUCGAGGAGCAGUCCAUGGACAUUGUCAGAAUGGUCAAUUUAGUCUGGCGUAUUAUUUUCAGAUAUCAUGUUUGUCCAAGCCUCCAAGAUUCAAUUAG
RNAcentral lists this ribosomal RNA (390 nucleotides) under Triticum aestivum (bread wheat). RNAcentral describes it as "partial small subunit ribosomal RNA". Lineage: Eukaryota; Viridiplantae; Streptophyta; Magnoliopsida; Poales; Poaceae. The record is from RNAcentral.